RNAcentral lists this ribosomal RNA (703 nucleotides) under uncultured Bacteroidota bacterium. RNAcentral's name for it is "bacterial SSU rRNA". It matches the Rfam family "Bacterial small subunit ribosomal RNA", at positions 8 to 703 of the family's 1533-position model. Lineage: Bacteria; Pseudomonadati; Bacteroidota. The record is from RNAcentral.
AGAGUUUGAUCCUGGCUCAGGAUGAACGCUAGCGGCAGGCUUAAUACAUGCAAGUCGAGGGGCAUCAGGGUGUAGCAAUACACUGCUGGCGACCGGCAAACGGGUGCGGAACACGUACACAACCUUCCUUUGAGUGGGGGAUAGCCCAGAGAAAUUUGGAUUAAUACCCCGUAAAAUUAUGAGAUGGCAUCAUUUUAUAAUUAAAGCUCCGGCGCUUGGAGAUGGGUGUGCGGCUGAUUAGGUAGUUGGUGAGGGUAACGGCCCACCAAGCCAACGAUCAGUAACUGGUGUGAGAGCACGACCAGUCACACGGGCACUGAGACACGGGCCCGACUCCUACGGGAGGCAGCAGUAAGGAAUAUUGGUCAAUGGACGCAAGUCUGAACCAGCCAUGCCGCGUGGAGGAUGAAGGUCCUCUGGAUUGUAAACUUCUUUUAUCUGGGAAGAAAUGCAUUUUUUCUAAAGUGUUUGACGGUACCAGAUGAAUAAGCACCGGCUAACUCCGUGCCAGCAGCCGCGGUAAUACGGAGGGUGCAAGCGUUAUCCGGAUUCACUGGGUUUAAAGGGUGCGUAGGUGGGCAGUUAAGUCAGUGGUGAAAUCUCCGGGCUUAACCCGGAAACUGCCAUUGAUACUAUCUGUCUUGAAUACCGUGGAGGUGAGCGGAAUUAUGUCAUGUACCGGCGAAAUGCUUAAUAUGACAUA